GACGAACGCUGGCGGCGUGCUUAACACAUGCAAGUCGAACGGAAAGGCCCGGCUUUUGUGGGGUGCUCGAGUGGCGAACGGGUGAGUAACACGUGAGUAACCUGCCCUUGACUUUGGGAUAACUUCAGGAAACUGGGGAUAAUACCGGAUAGGAGCUCCUGCUGCAUGGUGGGGGUUGGAAAGUUUCGGCGGUUGGGGAUGGACUCGCGGCUUAUCAGCUUGUUGGGGGGGUAGUGGCUUACCAAGGCUUUGACGGGUAGCCGGCCUGAGAGGGUGAACGGCCACAUUGGGACUGAGAUACGGCCCAGACUCCUACGGGAGGCAGCAGUGGGGAAUAUUGCACAAUGGGCGGAAGCCUGAUGCAGCAACGCCGCGUGCGGGAUGACGGCCUUCGGGUUGUAAACCGCUUUCGCAUGUGACGAAGCGUGAGUGACGGUAAUGGGUAAAGAAGCACCGGCUAACUACGUG
RNAcentral lists this ribosomal RNA (468 nucleotides) under uncultured bacterium. Its description in RNAcentral is "partial 16S ribosomal RNA". It matches the Rfam family "Bacterial small subunit ribosomal RNA", at positions 28 to 507 of the family's 1533-position model. The record is from RNAcentral.